AGAAGAUUUGGACAAGAUGAACUCAAGAGUCUACCAUCAAAACAUCAAGAUAUCAAAACAUCAGACUUUACUGAUUAAAAACUCAGAUUCUCACUAAAACACACACAUGAAAAUAUCUGAACAAGACAAAGAAGAGAACCCUCUUACAAAAUCACAAAUAAAUGGUGGAUAGCAUGUCUGUUAUGUGUCCUCCAUUGACCUCCUUUCCUAUGUCCAUUAUCUAUUCAUGAAUCCUUCCAUCCAUGAGGUACUUUUUUUUUGUAAAUGACAAUCCCCCUUCAUACACUCUUGCAGCAGACAUUCUUUCCUAUCUACAUCCCCAGUUGUUUCAUAUAUGAACUUCAAUCCU
This 349-nucleotide long non-coding RNA is filed under the name Homo sapiens (human). RNAcentral's name for it is "long non-coding RNA NONHSAT227276". Lineage: Eukaryota; Metazoa; Chordata; Mammalia; Primates; Hominidae. The record is from RNAcentral.